Molecule: long non-coding RNA, 739 nt
Filed under: Monodelphis domestica (gray short-tailed opossum)
Lineage: Eukaryota; Metazoa; Chordata; Mammalia; Didelphimorphia; Didelphidae
Description: lncRNA (ENSMODG00000034591.2)
Source: RNAcentral
AGUUCAACUUGGAACUGUCACUUGGAGUAGAACCUCCUGUGAGAGAGAGUUCUACUUGGAGAUCUACUGGCAGUUCGACUUGGAAUGGAGGCUGAUUAAAGAAUCUGCUGACUGGACUGGCACGAAAUCCUGUGUCAGCUUGCUGGGUGAGUGACGGAGAUUCUUGCCUUGGCUUUUUGGAAGAGGCUGUGUUGGUAGAACCCUGGCUGAAGACACCACUGGGACUUCUGGCUGAGGAUUACCAGACUGGGGCAGAACUUGGCUUCUCAGGAGAAGGACUGAAUAUGACUAUCCAGUUUUGAAGAGUCCAGAGGAUUUUGGAAUUCCCAUUUGUCCAUUAUUAUCUCAAAUAUCUUCCUCAAAUCCAGUUACCAGCACUAUCUGAAUGAUGAACUCAACCAAGAUGGAUGAAGAUUCAUCGUGCUUACAAAUUCCAUGAAUAGGGGAAAAAUGACUUCCAGCCACCAGAAACUAUGAGUUGUCCCUUUGCCACUUGUGCUGAUUAAACUUAAGCCUACCCAACACUAGAUUCUGUAUGUACUUAAGAGCGUGUUGCAGACUUCUAGGGUUGUAUUUGUGUCAACUUCAUAAUGGGCCACUUUAGUAAGUAACUCUUUCUGAAAGCUGCUUAAGUUUGGUUGACUAAAUUGAUUCUCAUAUGAUAAUCUGAAUGUGGUGUGAAUGGGGUAGAAAACACUGAUAGAGUUUGAGUCAACAGUGUUAGAACAGAGAUUCUGGG